AUUGAACGCUGGCGGCAUGCCUUACACAUGCAAGUCGAACGGCAGCACGGGUGCUUGCACCUGGUGGCGAGUGGCGAACGGGUGAGUAAUACAUCGGAACAUGUCCUGUAGUGGGGGAUAGCCCGGCGAAAGCCGGAUUAAUACCGCAUACGAUCUACGGAUGAAAGCGGGGGACCUUCGGGCCUCGCGCUAUAGGGUUGGCCGAUGGCUGAUUAGCUAGUUGGUGGGGUAAAGGCCUACCAAGGCGACGAUCGGUAGAUGGUCUGAGAGGACGACCAGCCACACUGGGACUGAGACACGGCCCAGACUCCUACGGGAGGCAGCAGUGGGGAAUUUUGGACAAUGGGCGAAAGCCUGAUCCAGCAAUGCCGCGUGUGUGAAGAAGGCCUUCGGGUUGUAAAGCACUUUUGUCCGGAAAGAAAUCCUUGGCUCUAAUACAGUCGGGGGAUGACGGUACCGGAAGAAUAAGCACCGGCUAACUACGUG
Molecule: ribosomal RNA, 486 nt
Filed under: uncultured bacterium
Lineage: Bacteria
Description: partial 16S ribosomal RNA
Rfam family: Bacterial small subunit ribosomal RNA
Source: RNAcentral